This 468-nucleotide ribosomal RNA is filed under the name uncultured bacterium. RNAcentral describes it as "partial 16S ribosomal RNA". It matches the Rfam family "Bacterial small subunit ribosomal RNA", at positions 28 to 507 of the family's 1533-position model. The record is from RNAcentral.
GACGAACGCUGGCGGCGUGCUUAACACAUGCAAGUCGAACGGAAAGGCCCUGCUUUUGUGGGGUGCUCGAGUGGCGAACGGGUGAGUAACACGUGAGUAACCUGCCCUUGACUUUGGGAUAACUUCAGGAAACUGGGGCUAAUACCGGAUAGGAGCUCCUGCUGCAUGGUGGGGGUUGGAAAGUUUCGGCGGUUGGGGAUGGACUCGCGGCUUAUCAGCUUGUUGGUGGGGUAGUGGCUUACCAAGGCUUUGACGGGUAGCCGGCCUGAGAGGGUGACCGGCCACAUUGGGACUGAGAUACGGCCCAGACUGCUACGGGAGGCAGCAGUGGGGAAUAUUGCACAAUGGGCGGAAGCCUGAUGCAGCAACGCCGCGGGCGGGAUGACGGCCUUCGGGUUGUAAAACGCUUUCGCCUGUGACGAAGCGUGAGUGACGGUAAUGGGUAAAGAAGCACCGGCUAACUACGUG